Molecule: ribosomal RNA, 584 nt
Filed under: uncultured bacterium
Lineage: Bacteria
Description: partial 16S ribosomal RNA
Rfam family: Bacterial small subunit ribosomal RNA
Source: RNAcentral
UGGGGAAUUUUGGACAAUGGGCGGAAGCCUGAUCCAGCAAUGCCGCGUGUGUGAAGAAGGCCUUCGGGUUGUAAAGCACUUUUGUCCGGAAAGAAAUCCUUGGCUCUAAUACAGUCGGGGGAUGACGGUACCGGAAGAAUAAGCACCGGCUAACUACGUGCCAGCAGCCGCGGUAAUACGUAGGGUGCAAGCGUUAAUCGGAAUUACUGGGCGUAAAGCGUGCGCAGGCGGUUUGCUAAGACCGAUGUGAAAUCCCCGGGCUCAACCUGGGAACUGCAUUGGUGACUGGCAGGCUAGAGUAUGGCAGAGGGGGGUAGAAUUCCACGUGUAGCAGUGAAAUGCGUAGAGAUGUGGAGGAAUACCGAUGGCGAAGGCAGCCCCCUGGGCCAAUACUGACGCUCAUGCACGAAAGCGUGGGGAGCAAACAGGAUUAGAUACCCUGGUAGUCCACGCCCUAAACGAUGUCAACUAGUUGUUGGGGAUUCAUUCCUUAGUAACGUAGCUAACGCGUGAAGUUGACCGCCUGGGGAGUACGGUCGCAAGAUUAAAACUUAAAGGAAUUGACGGGGUCAUAGCUGUUUCCU